AGAGUUUGAUCCUGGCUCAGGAUGAACGCUGGCGGCGUGCCUAAUACAUGCAAGUCGAACGGACGUAGCAAUACGUUAGUGGCGACCGGGUGCGUAACACGUAGCUGACCUGCCCCUCAGCGGGGGACAACACCGGGAAACUGGUGCUAAUACCGCAUGAUAUCAAUAGAUUUAGAACCUGUUGAUUAAACUUACGGGGCUGAGGGAGGGGGCUGCGGCCCAUCAGGUAGUUGGUGAGGUAAAAGCUCACCAAGCCAAUGACGGGUAGGGGGCCUGAGAGGGUGGUCCCCCACACUGGAACUGACACACGGUCCAGACCCCUACGGGAGGCAGCAGUAAGGGAUAUUGCACAAUGGGCGAAAGCCUGAUGCAGCAACGCCGCGUGGAGGAAGAAGGCCUUCGGGUUGUAAACUUCUUUUGACGCUGACGAGGAAGGACGGUAGGCGUCGAAUAAGUCACGGUUAACUACGUGCCAGCAGCCGCGGUAAUUC
RNAcentral lists this ribosomal RNA (491 nucleotides) under uncultured bacterium. RNAcentral's name for it is "bacterial SSU rRNA". It matches the Rfam family "Bacterial small subunit ribosomal RNA", at positions 8 to 526 of the family's 1533-position model. The record is from RNAcentral.